Molecule: ribosomal RNA, 594 nt
Filed under: obligately oligotrophic bacterium POCPN-83
Lineage: Bacteria; Pseudomonadati; Pseudomonadota; Gammaproteobacteria
Description: bacterial SSU rRNA
Rfam family: Bacterial small subunit ribosomal RNA
Source: RNAcentral
CAAGUCGAGCGGUAGAGAGAAGCUUGCUUCUCUUGAGAGCGGCGGACGGGUGAGUAAAGCCUAGGAAUCUGCCUGGUAGCGGGGGAUAACGUUCGGAAACGGACGCUAAUACCGCAUACGUCCUACGGGAGAAAGCAGGGGACCUUCGGGCCUUGCGCUAUCAGAUGAGCCUAGGUCGGAUUAGCUAGUUGGUGAGGUAAUGGCUCACCAAGGCGACGAUCCGUAACUGGCCUGAGAGGAUGAUCAGUCACACUGGAACUGAGACACGGUCCAGACUCCUACGGGAGGCAGCAGUGGGGAAUAUUGGACAAUGGGCGAAAGCCUGAUCCAGCCAUGCCGCGUGUGUGAAGAAGGUCUUCGGAUUGCAAAGCACUUUAAGUUGGGAGGAAGGGCAGUAAACUAAUACGUUGCUGUUUUGACGUUACCGACAGAAUAAGCACCGGCUAACUCUGUGCCAGCAGCCGCGGUAAUACAGAGGGCGCAAGCGUUAAUCGGAAUUACUGGGCGUAAAGCGCGCGUAGGUGGUUUGUUAAGUUGGAUGUGAAAUCCCCGGGCUCAACCUGGGAACUGCAUUCAAAACUGACUGACUAGAGU